GUCCACGCUGUAAACGAUGAGAACUUGAUGUUGGGUUGCUUAGCAAUUCAGUAUCGGAGCUAACGCGUUAAGUUCUCCGCCUGGGGAGUACGGCCGCAAGGUUGAAACUCAAAGGAAUUGACGGGGGCCCGCACAAGCGGUGGAGCAUGUGGUUUAAUUCGAUGCAACGCGAAGAACCUUACCUGGCCUUGACAUCCUGCGAACUUUCUAGAGAUAGAUUGGUGCCUUCGGGAACGCAGUGAC
RNAcentral lists this ribosomal RNA (243 nucleotides) under uncultured bacterium. RNAcentral's name for it is "partial 16S ribosomal RNA". It matches the Rfam family "Bacterial small subunit ribosomal RNA", at positions 793 to 1035 of the family's 1533-position model. The record is from RNAcentral.